This 87-nucleotide transfer RNA is filed under the name Deltaproteobacteria bacterium. Its description in RNAcentral is "tRNA-Ser". It matches the Rfam family "tRNA". From Rfam's summary of the family: Transfer RNA (tRNA) molecules are approximately 80 nucleotides in length. Their secondary structure includes four short double-helical elements and three loops (D, anti-codon, and T loops). Lineage: Bacteria; Pseudomonadati; Myxococcota; Myxococcia. The record is from RNAcentral.
GGAGGGGUGGCCGAGUGGUCGAAGGCGCUUGACUCGAAAUCAAGUGUACGUUCACGCGUACCGUGGGUUCGAAUCCCACCCCCUCCG